This 255-nucleotide ribosomal RNA is filed under the name uncultured bacterium. Its description in RNAcentral is "partial 16S ribosomal RNA". It matches the Rfam family "Bacterial small subunit ribosomal RNA", at positions 524 to 776 of the family's 1533-position model. The record is from RNAcentral.
UACGUAGGGGGCAAGCGUUGUCCGGAAUCACUGGGCGUAAAGCGCGCGCAGGCGGCUAUCUACGUCCGGGGUGAAAGCCCAGAGCUCAACUCUGGGAUUGCCUUGGAUACGGGAUGGCUUGAGGAUCGGAGAGGCAAGGGGAAUUCCACGUGUAGCGGUGAAAUGCGUAGAGAUGUGGAGGAACACCGGUGGCGAAGGCGGUUCUCUGGGAAUGACCUGGACGCUGGAGGAGCGAAAGUGUGGGGAGCGAACAGG